RNAcentral lists this ribosomal RNA (459 nucleotides) under uncultured bacterium. RNAcentral's name for it is "partial 16S ribosomal RNA". It matches the Rfam family "Bacterial small subunit ribosomal RNA", at positions 338 to 795 of the family's 1533-position model. The record is from RNAcentral.
CCUACGGGAGGCAGCAGUGAGGAAUAUUGGUCAAUGGGCGCGAGCCUGAACCAGCCAAGUCGCGUGAGGGAAGACGGUCCUAUGGAUUGUAAACCUCUUUUGUCGGGGAGCAAAAGACGCCACGCGUGGCGUUCCGCGAGUACCCGAAGAAAAAGCAUCGGCUAACUCCGUGCCAGCAGCCGCGGUAAUACGGAGGAUGCGAGCGUUAUCCGGAUUUAUUGGGUUUAAGGGGUGCGCAGGCGGAAGAUAAAGCUAGCGUGAAAAUUGAGAGGCUCAACCUCUUCGAGCCGUUGAAACUGGUAUUCUUGAGUGAGUGAGAGGGAGGCGGAAUGCGUGGUGUAGCGGUGAAAUGCAUAGAGAUCACGAAGAACUCCGAUUGCGAAGGCAGCAUACCGGCGCUCAACUGACGCUCAUGCACGAAAGUGUGGGUAUCGAACAGGAUUAGAUACCCUUGUAGUC